Long non-coding RNA from Vicia villosa (hairy vetch), 1202 nucleotides. RefSeq lists it as uncharacterized. The record is from RefSeq and is a predicted model, not a curated record. Lineage: Eukaryota; Viridiplantae; Streptophyta; Magnoliopsida; Fabales; Fabaceae. The transcript is spliced from 3 exons.
AUUCUCCCUCGUUCUUAUCUCUCUGAACCAUCACCGCCGCUUCGGCACGCCCACGGCGGCGGCUGCGGCGGUUCCCUCCCUGAAACCUAAUCAAGAUCCACCAUUUGAUUCUUCUCGACAUCCUAUUUCUAAAUCCACGACCAUCUUUCCUCAAUUUCAAACCACCUUUUCUAAAUCUAACAAAAUCUCCCGAACCCUAAGUUCAACCAAAGUGAAAUUAAAUUGCCAAGGUAGCGAAUCGAAUCACGAGACCUUAGGGUAAAUAUCCAGGAAGAUUUGAACUACAUCACGAUGAGAAGAAUCACGCAAGAAAGAAAGAGGAAAUAAAAAGCGACGCUUACCUACCGAAGUAGCUCCGGCGGCUCUUCAACGGCGUGGAUUUGGCGAAAUAAACGCGAGGAUAUACUUCAAUCUCAGGUUGGAGUUACAAUGUGAAUAUGAACCCCUUCUUGUAUAUCCGCUUAUGGUUUCGACACCAACCUGGUAUGGAAUUAAUUUACUGAUGAUAAAAACAGAAUCCCUACUGCCUGGACAGUAUCAAUGCUUCAGUGUGAUUGUUUGAUUGCAGGAUUUUUCAGGAUCGUGUAUGGAAAUGUUAGGGUGUAAGGAUGACUCUAAGGUGUGAGGCUCGGAUAUGUUCGUAUGGUGUAUCGAAUGAGGUGCAGUAAGCUGGUGUAGCAGGUUUGGCAAGUAUUUCGGGGUUAACAUGUAUGUGAACUGAAUAUGAGAUGGUGAUGUCUGGACUCAAUUACAGUUAGGCUGGAUUUUCUGUUAUGGCUUCCCCAUUCAAUAUUCCAAUUUUCUCCCAAUUCAAAUUUCUCCUCCUGAACAAAUGCAGGGCUGAGGUGAUUGUUUUGCAAUAGGUGGAGAAGGAUGUUGAACAUGAAGCAUGUGGUUUUAUGGAUUGGAAUGUGUGGAACGGUUUGGUUCAUGAUCGGGCUUCCUUUCUUGUGGUUCAUAACUCUGUUAUUUUUGAAUCUUGUGAGUUAACCUUGGUUUUAUGCUGCAAUUCUAAUUAUGCAGGGUGUUUAAAGUGGCAGCUUAUGGCAUGGGAUUAUAUGGACUUGUACUUUUGAAGGGUUGAAUAUUGUAGAGUUGUGGAUUAAUUUGAAAGUCUUGAAGGGUGUGAAGUAGGAUUAGGGACAAUAUUUUUUUGAUGUAAUUCUUUUGUAGUUUAACUUUUUGUAAUGGAUAUCGAAUAA